RNAcentral lists this ribosomal RNA (488 nucleotides) under Pseudoxanthomonas sp. R1_33. Its description in RNAcentral is "bacterial SSU rRNA". It matches the Rfam family "Bacterial small subunit ribosomal RNA", at positions 23 to 500 of the family's 1533-position model. The record is from RNAcentral. Lineage: Bacteria; Pseudomonadati; Pseudomonadota; Gammaproteobacteria; Lysobacterales; Lysobacteraceae.
CUCAGAGUGAACGCUGGCGGUAGGCCUAACACAUGCAAGUCGAACGGCAGCACAGGAGAGCUUGCUCUCUGGGUGGCGAGUGGCGGACGGGUGAGAAAUACAUCGGAAUCUACCUUUUCGUGGGGGAUAACGUAGGGAAACUUACGCUAAUACCGCAUACGACCUUCGGGUGAAAGUGGGGGACCUUCGGGCCUCACGCGAUUAGAUGAGCCGAUGUCGGAUUAGCUAGUUGGCGGGGUAAUGGCCCACCAAGGCGACGAUCCGUAGCUGGUCUGAGAGGAUGAUCAGCCACACUGGAACUGAGACACGGUCCAGACUCCUACGGGAGGCAGCAGUGGGGAAUAUUGGACAAUGGGCGCAAGCCUGAUCCAGCCAUACCGCGUGGGUGAAGAAGGCCUUCGGGUUGUAAAGCCCUUUUGUUGGGAAAGAAAUCCUAUCGAUUAAUACUCGGUGGGGAUGACGGUACCCAAAGAAUAAGCACCGGCUAA